Molecule: long non-coding RNA, 5585 nt
Filed under: Sus scrofa (pig)
Lineage: Eukaryota; Metazoa; Chordata; Mammalia; Artiodactyla; Suidae
Description: lncRNA (ENSSSCG00030049326.1)
Source: RNAcentral
GCAUCCUCAUGGAUACGAGCUGGGUUGUUAACCCAUUGAGCCACAACAGGAACUCCCCAGUUUGUGAAAUGGGUGUAAUAAUAAUAACGCCUUUCUUAUAGUGUUGUCAGAAGAAUAAGAGAAUGUUUUAAAUUUUAAUUCGGAAAUAAUUUUAAACAGAGAAAAUUACAAAAAAUGUGGAAUUCACGUAGCCUGAUAUCAGCUUCCUAUAAUAUUAAAACUUACGUAGCUGUAAUAUAGUUCUUAAAGCCAGAAAGUUAAAAUUACCAUAAUGCAAUUAACUAGAGACCUUAUUAGACGAUCACCCGUUUUUUCCUCACUUUUUCCUAUUUUAGACUCAAAACCAAUUUCCUACACUGCAUGCGAUUCUUAUAUCUUUCUGUCUUCUUCCAAUCUGAUGUAUCUUGCUUGUCCUUGCUUGUCUUUCAUGACUUUGGCCCUUAGGAUGAGAGCUGGGCAAUUAUUCCAAGAAUGCUAUUUUAAUUUUUCUUUAACACAGCAGUAACCAGAACCACAGCAGUGACAACGUUGGAUCCUUAAGCCAUUGAGCCAUCCAGGAAAUCCUGAUAUUUUCUAACAAUUAUAGUGAUUUUAUGCAUUUAAAAAAUUUUUAAUUGAAGUAUGGUUGAUUUAUAAUGUUAAUUUCUGCUGUAUGGAAAAAUGAUUCAGUUAUGCAUAUAUACAUUCUUUUCCAUCCUUUUCCAUUAUGGCUUCUCACAGGGUAUUGAAUAUGGUUCUCUAUGCUAUGCAGUAGGACCUUGUUUUUUAUCCAUCCUAUAUAUAAUAGUUUGCAUCUAUUAAUCCCAGACUCCCAAUCUGUGUACCAUAUCAGGAAGAACAUGAUGUCACUAUUUCUCACUAGUAUUCAUGUUAACUUUGAUCAGUUGGUUAAGGUGAUGUCUGUUGGGUUUUCUUCCUGUAAAGCAACUUUAAUUCACUUUGUAAUAGAUAAAUGUUUUGGGGGGAUAUGUUGAAACUAUGCAAAUACCUUGUUUCUUUGAAAACUGUCACCUACUGAUUUUAUCAUUCAUCCGUGCCUGUAACAAUUAUUACUGUCUAAUGGUGAUUUUGAAUUUGCCUUGAGUCAUCUAUAUUUAUUUGUUGGGAUAUUUUUACAAGAAAUAAUUGCGUACUAUGCAUUCAUAUGUUUUAAGUCAUUAAUUUAUAUUAGAAUUGUGGAUAUUUAAUAGUAUCAUUAUUUAUUUUGCUGCUCGAAUUGUCUUGGCUUUGGCCUUUCUGCCUCCUUUAGCUUGAGUCUUCUGUCCUUUGACAUGUGCUGAUGUUUUUUCCAGCAUUUUCUUAUUUUCUAACACUAUGAGAUGUUCCAAGUUCAUUUUGUAUUUUCUGCCUCAACACUAGACUCAAUCACUAAUGUAAGGAGCCCUGGUUCUUUUCAUUAGUAUUUGGAAACCAAGAUCUGGGUGUUAGGUAUGUUCAUUGCUACUGGGGUACAAUUGCUUCUAAGUAAUCUCAGCCAACAUAUUCACAAAGACACAGACAUUUAUAUUUAUUUCUAUGUCUGCAUGUUUAUAUAUUAAAAAUGAAACUGACAACUCCAAUUCUAACUUGACAGGACAAGGUACAUUCUAACCGUUUCCCUUUCCUUAUUUGCAACAUCCUUCCCUGAGAGGAAGAAACCUAGCUCUCACCAUGAAUAAUAUACUCAUUUGUCCCGUUGUAGCUACAGAAAGUAUAAAGCAGUUUAUAAAGUAGUUACAAAAUUUGUAAACAUUAGGCGACUACAGAAUUGCUAAAUCACAAUCCCUGUGAGAAGCAGAUUUGCUUUCUAGAGUACAGUACUUAUAUACAGUUCCUUGGUCUUUUAACUUAAUAGCAUCCAGUCGACACACUGUUAUCCAGAGUUAGGUUAACAUUCUAGCUGUUUUUAUUUCUGUGAAUUGUUUUUUCUAGAAGCUUAUCAAUGUGUCAGGGAAAUUUUCUCUUUUGUUUAUUUUAGGUGGCGUGUUGGAAGACAAAAAGCUAUCUUGGGAGUUCCCAUCGUGGCUCAGAGGUAAUGAACCUAACCAGUAUCCAUGAGGAUGUGAGUUCAAUCUCUGGCCUUGCUCAGUGGGUUAAGGAUCCGGUGUUGCCUUGAGCUGUGGUGUAGGUGGCAGACAUGGCUUAGAUCCCAAGUUGCUGUGACUGUGUGGCAUAGGCUGGCAGCUCUAGCUCUGAUUCGACCCCUAGGCUGGGAACUUCCAUAUGCCACGGGUGUGGCCCUAAAAGAGACAAAAAAAAAAAAAAAAGCUAGCUCUAAACCUGUUGGUCUCAGUUUGAGUGUUGUUAGAAGAGCAUUGUGGAUUGGGGUUAGAUGACUUCUGGCUUCGCUGCUCACUCUUGCCCUCUGCCUACCCUGCACCAUUCUCCCUGAACUUGGUUUCCCUUCAAUUUGUUAUGGAAAUUAGAAAUGAAAGUAGAGAUGUUUUAUGAAUGGUUAUGUAAUUGAAAACUUCUCAUUUCAUAUUAAUAAUUUGCUUUAGGAGUUCCUGUAGUGGUGCAGUGGUUAACAAAUCCGACUAGGAACCAUGAGGUUGCGGGUUCUAUCCCUUCCCUUGCUCAGUGGGUUGAGGAUCCGGCAUUGUGGUGAGCUGUGGUGUAGGUUGCAAACACGGCUUGGAUCCCGUGUUGGUGUGGCUCUGGUGUAGGCCGGUGGCUACGGCUCCGAUUAGACCCCUAGCCUGGGAAUCUCCACAUGCCGUGGGAGUGGCUUAAGAAAAGGCAAAAAGACUAAAUAAAUAAAUAAAUAAUUUGCUUUAUAUGUUUGCAUGUGUGUAUAUCAGCUUUGCUUAAAGUGGGAUACCUUUGACAAAUCCAAUGUGGGAUAAAUGAGUAGUCCUUCAUUCUCCAUCUGAGUCCAUAAGGAAUACCUGGAUAGUUGGAACCUUUUGAAUAAGAGAUGUGCUGAUAUGUUCCAAAUAAAGACAAGAAGAAAAUGGAUAUACCUGAUACCGUAUAUUAUCGAUGCCAUUCUGGAGUGCUUGACAAUUUGGGGAGAAAUAUACACUAUUGGUUAGUAUCUAUUUUCAAGUAUAAAGAGAAGAAGCUAAAGAGUUUACUAUAUUCUGAAGCUAAAACACAAAAAUGAACAAAAGUAAUAAUCUUAUUUUCUUUUUAUAUAGUCAGAAUAAAAAACAAGCCUAAUGUAUAUUGAAAGAUGAUGGUAGAUAGAAAAGUUCUCCAGGCUGGUUAAAAGCUAAAGAAGAGGGGUUCCCACCAUGCACAGUGGGUUAAGAAUUUUACUGCAGCAACUUGGAUCUCUGCAGAGGCACAGGUUUGAUCCCCGGCCCAAUGUAGUGGGUUAAAGGAUCCAGCCUAGUAUCCUGUGGCUUGGGAUUCAAUCCAAAGCCAGGAAUUUUCUUUUGCUGUGGGUGCAGCCAUAAAAUUAAAAAAAAAAAAAAGCUACAAAACUUUAUCAUUAUGGAUUUUCUUAAGGGCAGAAAUACUGUAACUAUUAUGGAUGAUUUUAGACUCUUUGUGCUAUUUCCUUCAAAAUGUGUCAACAGUUUUUAACCAAUGAUUUAAAUUUUUCAAAGAAAUAAUCAUCUUUUCUUAUAAUUGGUGAUAAAAUUGACACAAAUCUGUUUUAAAUAUUUGUAUUCAAAAGCAAAUAUUUUCUAUUUUAUUAUUAUGCUAUAAAGAAAAAGAGCAUAAUUGAUAUUCGGGAACUAGAGUUAACAGGAAUUGUGAAGUAACAUAUUCUUUGAAAUAUUGACCAAUUCUCUCUUUAGAAUUAUUUUGCCCUUCCAAUAUUUUAAAUAUUAAUAUUUGAAAAUGGAAUGAGCAACAGGACCAUGAGAUAAUCAAAUUACCAUCUUAUCAAGGCUAAUGAUAGGAUGGUCUCUUUCAUGAAUCAUUAGUAAUUCAUUUCACACAGCCACAAAAGCAUUCAAAUGCCUUUAUACGAGGGCCUCCCAUUACAUGAUAAAAAAAGUCAGAAGGUUACUUAGGCAAAAUUCAUUGAACAAAAUUGAAAACUUUACGCCAGAUGAAAUCUACAUGACAGUGUCUUCAAGCUUCCAAACACUCCUGAAAAUAGAUGGCAAUUUUUUAAACAAAAGGUAAUCUGGUUAUGCCACUUCAUAUUAUAAGAAGAUGUAAACUAUCAGUGCUCUCCAGUUAAAUCGUGUCUUUUACAAUUAAUAACCAUAGCUCCAUAAUAUUAUACAAAUAAUAGCACAUCAACAAACCCUGUUGGGAAUUUGACAUAAAACUGUUUGAUUACAAAUCAAUGUUUUGUGAUUUUAGCAGCAUUGACUUUUAUCAGGAUAAGCACUUAGUCUUUUCUAGGUUAGUCUUAAGCUAGAAGAUAAUACAGAAAUCUUUUUGAAACCAUGGUAAUAUGUAGUAUAGUUUAUAUAAUAAUCAAAAUUUUCUGCUAUCACUCAAUGGCUCUUUCCUCAUAUUUGAAAAGCUCAGCUUUCACUGAGUGAUAUGAGAUAGUGUAUGCAUAGGAGAGUAGGAUGUACUUUUUCAAAUUUUAAAAAAUAAAAUGAAGGGAAAAACUGUGACUGAAAUUAAAAUUUAUGGUAAAAAUUCAUCUCCCCAUUUUCCCUCCCUUCCCCAUGUGCUACUUCUCUUGUCCCAGUCCCUUGGUGACCAUAAGCAGGUGUUUCCCUGCAAGCACAGUGUUUUCCAGUUUCACUGCUAGGGCUCUAUAAAGAAGAGAGAACUAUUAAGUUCACAAAGGUUUUGAAAUGGUUCCAUUUUCAUAGAGUAUUAGUAAGAUGCAAGUUCCCUUCUGUCCUCCUCUAAAUCCAGGUCAGCUGAACUCAGGUUUAAAGUUCCUAGGGAUCCUUAAGGCCCCAGGAUUUAUCUCUUGCUAGAGGCUUCCUCUUGCUGGUCCCCUCAGGGCUUGCAGCCACUCCAGGCUCCUCCCUGUGCCAUGGCUGCUGCUGAGAUGAACAUAGCAUACAGAACUUCUGCCUGAUUCCAAAAAAAUUACCUCAAAGGCUGAAAUAGCCAUGUACACUCUGGAAUUCCCCAUUCAGCUCACCCUGUUGCAAAGGCAUUGAGUCUAUGUCUUGGCUGUACUUGCUCAUCAAAUCUCAAAUCUUCCCUGGAUGCCACCAGAGCUCACCUUCCUUGAAGUCACUACCACUUUUUCCCAAUGUUAGCCUGCCAUCACUCUCUCCCUUCUGUCUUGUUCCUCAUCCCCAAUUCUGGCUGAUAGGAAUACUACCACAGUUCAAGGCUUCUGUAGACCUUAAUUCAUCCUACCUGGAGGCAACCAGAAUCUCUUGCAUCUGUCACUGUUACUAAAUCAAUCUGCAAACAACCCAGGGCCAGCACAGCUCUGAUGUCACCUCUGGUGCCCUGGGAUGCUGUGGCUGCCUGCGAGCUGCCUUUAUGAACCAGUUCUAACUUUGAUCAGAGACUGAUGAGGAGGUUGCCCAGCCCCUCUGCCUGACUCAGAGUUGCUUCCAAACAUCUUGUCCAGAUCAUCUCCUCUAUGUUUGCUUGGUGCUUGUUUGUCUUUGGAUAUGGGUUUCUGGAUUCAAACUAAUUGAGACCAUUGUUUGAAGUCAUGCCUAGAGACUCAGGACUCACCAUGACAGUGCUUCUGCUGCUCCUAGAAAUCAUCUUCC